This 77-nucleotide transfer RNA is filed under the name Bdellovibrionales bacterium RIFOXYD1_FULL_53_11. Its description in RNAcentral is "tRNA-Met". It matches the Rfam family "tRNA". Rfam says of the family: Transfer RNA (tRNA) molecules are approximately 80 nucleotides in length. The record is from RNAcentral. Lineage: Bacteria; Pseudomonadati; Bdellovibrionota; Bdellovibrionia; Bdellovibrionales.
GGGCCUUUAGCUCAGCCGGUUAGAGCAGCGGACUCAUAAUCCGCGGGUCGUAGGUUCAAGUCCUACAAGGCCCACCA